Molecule: non-coding RNA, 117 nt
Filed under: Wolbachia endosymbiont of Aleurodicus floccissimus
Lineage: Bacteria; Pseudomonadati; Pseudomonadota; Alphaproteobacteria; Rickettsiales; Anaplasmataceae
Source: RNAcentral
GAAGGAAGGUCCUUCGAAAUCGGCUUUCAGGAGCAGGUUUCAAACCACCUUAAGUGGCUCUAUUAAAGAGAUAAGGUCAUAAGCGUUAAGGAAAAAUCAGCAUAUAAGCUGGAAGGU